Long non-coding RNA from Mirounga angustirostris (Northern elephant seal), 1016 nucleotides. RefSeq lists it as uncharacterized. NCBI's taxonomy places the organism in Eukaryota, Metazoa, Chordata, Mammalia, Carnivora, Phocidae. The transcript is spliced from 3 exons. The record is from RefSeq and is a predicted model, not a curated record.
CAGGAAGACUAACAGCCCUGGGAAAGCUGGUCUUCCCUUCCCCGCCUCGGUCAGUAUGUCCUUCACCAGCGGGUCCAGGCCCAGGACAAAGCCCUCUCGGGGAAGGUCAGCCGGAGAGCUUCAGCAGGGCAUUCAUGAGUCAUGCGGCAGGAACAAAGAAGCUUCAGUCUGAAACUUCCACGGGGGAAACAGUUUAAACAGCGUGGGCUCACAGGGCUUUUUGAAAUCUGAAAACAUGCCUUGGAGGUGCCCUUAAUCACCUGAUGGCAGCUGUUGUCUCCUGACAGCUAGAUUCCAAACGUAAACAUGAUUUGUCUGAAUGCGUUGGAAUCAUUUGCAUGCAGGUGUAGACAGCUCUAUGAUGGGCGUACUGGGAGCAGCUGGAAGAUACGCUCCGCUCACGCUGUCUGGUAGGGCCCAGGCUGCGUUUCUAGAUGGGCUCACGGCAGAGCCAGGCCAGCAUCCUUUCUCUUCGUGGGGGCAGCUCCCCAACUCUGGAACUCAGUCCUCAGGCCAUCCGCGUGAGGUGAAGACACAGAGGGCCAACAAGAUUGGCGGGGGUGAAGUCCUGCAACCUGGAGCCAGGGUCCAGGCACCCGGACACCCAGAUAACCAACACCUGCGCCCUAACCUGUGUGGUGCAGACACCCCUCUCUCAGCUGCCUGAGCACCCGAGCCCACCUGCCCACGCUCAGGUGCAUGUUGGGGGCAGAGCGAGGCAGUCUGUGAUUCAGACACAGGCCACUCCUUAUUGAGUGACUUGCACACGGAGUUUCAUCAGCUUCUUACAGGGGAUAAUAAUAUAACAACUCCCCCUUGCAGGGUGAGGUGAGGAUUCAACGAUGUCAUGACUCAAAAUGCUAACCCAGCGUUUGGCACAGGUGGAAGGGAGAAGCUGAUUCCAUCUCGAUGGAGUGGAAGGCUCCACGGAUAUUGUUCAGCUUCUGCGAGGCCAGGAGAAAGUUGAGAGCAAAGAGUGACAAGGGAAUUGAGAUGGGAGGAAGCCAGGAAGGGGG